GUUAAAAAGCUCGUAGUUGGAUCAAGAGUUGGACAGUGCACGGUGGCCCUGUUUGUGUAUUUGGCUCCGGUCAGGUACGCGGCAGCGGAACAACCCCGUGCAUUAAACUGUCCACUCUAACAGACCGAAACGGUUCCCUGUGAGUAGGCUCCUUAAUUGGGGCUGAAAGCGCCUACGCAUCAACCAUAUGCAUACGGGACGUCGGUCAAUGUUACUGUGAACAAACCAGCGUGUCCAAAGCAGGCUUUCGCCUGAAUGUUCGAGCAUGGAAUAACAAGGGAUCGAUUCUCUCGGUUCUUUUUGUCGGUUUUUAACCCGAGAAGGAGUAAUUCAGGCCACGGUGUCUGAGUUGGGUUUCCCUAGGCUUCGGCUUAGGCCCCAAUUAGGCCGUGUCCUUACGGGAUCAAUAGUUCUUAGAUCGCGGGAAGAGGAACUUCUGCGAAAGCAUUCGACAAGAAUGUCUUCAUUAAUCAAGAACGAGAGUGUGGGAUCGAAGAUGAUCAGAUACCGUC
Molecule: ribosomal RNA, 512 nt
Filed under: uncultured marine eukaryote
Lineage: Eukaryota
Description: bacterial SSU rRNA
Rfam family: Eukaryotic small subunit ribosomal RNA
Source: RNAcentral